This 230-nucleotide ribosomal RNA is filed under the name uncultured bacterium. Its description in RNAcentral is "partial 16S ribosomal RNA". It matches the Rfam family "Bacterial small subunit ribosomal RNA", at positions 524 to 751 of the family's 1533-position model. The record is from RNAcentral.
UACAGAGGCCUCGAGCGUUAGGCGGAAUCACUGGGCUUAAAGCGUGUGUAGGUGGAUGCCUAAGUGCCUUGUGAAAUCCCAUGGCUUAACCAUGGAAUUGCUGGGCAUACUGGGCGUCUUGAGCCACUCAGGGGCUACCGGAACAAACGGUGGAGCGGUGAAAUGCGUAGAUAUCGUUUGGAACGCCAAUGGUGAAAACAGGUAAGCUGGGGGUGUGCUGGACACUGAGA